AAGCUGUCGNCUAUGGGAUGGCCCCGCGGUGCAUUAGCUAGNUUGGUAAGGUAACGGCUUACCAAGGCGAUGAUGCAUAGCCGAGUUGAGAGACUGAUCGGCCACAUUGGGACUGAGACACGGCCCAAACUCCUACGGGAGGCAGCAGUAGGGAAUCUUCCACAAUGGACGCAAGUCUGAUGGAGCAACGCCGCGUGAGUGAAGAAGGUUUUCGGAUCGUAAAGCU
RNAcentral lists this ribosomal RNA (226 nucleotides) under uncultured bacterium. Its description in RNAcentral is "partial 16S ribosomal RNA". It matches the Rfam family "Bacterial small subunit ribosomal RNA", at positions 208 to 432 of the family's 1533-position model. The record is from RNAcentral.